Molecule: ribosomal RNA, 464 nt
Filed under: Vreelandella stevensii
Lineage: Bacteria; Pseudomonadati; Pseudomonadota; Gammaproteobacteria; Oceanospirillales; Halomonadaceae
Description: partial 16S ribosomal RNA
Rfam family: Bacterial small subunit ribosomal RNA
Source: RNAcentral
CCUACGGGGGGCUGCAGUGGGGAAUAUUGGACAAUGGGGCAACCCUGAUCCAGCCAUGCCGCGUGUGUGAAGAAGGCCCUCGGGUUGUAAAGCACUUUCAGUGAGGAAGAACGCCUGGUGGUUAAUACCCAUCAGGAAAGACAUCACUCACAGAAGAAGCACCGGCUAACUCCGUGCCAGCAGCCGCGGUAAUACGGAGGGUGCGAGCGUUAAUCGGAAUUACUGGGCGUAAAGCGCGCGUAGGUGGCUUGAUAAGCCGGUUGUGAAAGCCCCGGGCUCAACCUGGGAACGGCAUCCGGAACUGUCAAGCUAGAGUGCAGGAGAGGAAGGUAGAAUUCCCGGUGUAGCGGUGAAAUGCGUAGAGAUCGGGAGGAAUACCAGUGGCGAAGGCGGCCUUCUGGACUGACACUGACGCUGAGGUGCGAAAGCGUGGGUAGCAAACAGGAUUAGAUACCCCUGUAGUC